RNAcentral lists this ribosomal RNA (468 nucleotides) under uncultured bacterium. RNAcentral describes it as "partial 16S ribosomal RNA". It matches the Rfam family "Bacterial small subunit ribosomal RNA", at positions 28 to 507 of the family's 1533-position model. The record is from RNAcentral.
GACGAACGCUGGCGGCGUGCUUAACACAUGCCAGUCGAACGGAAAGGCCCUGCUUUUGUGGGGUGCUCGAGUGGCGAACGGGUGAGUAACACGUGAGUAACCUGCCCUUGACUUUGGGAUAACUUAAGGAAACUGGGCUAAAUACCGGAAAGGCGUUCCGCCUGCUGGGUGGGGGUUGGAAAGUUUCGGCGGUUGGGGAUGGACUCGCGGCUUAUCAGCUUGUUGGUGGGGUAGUGGCUUACCAAGGCUUUGACGGGUAGCCGGCCUGAGAGGGUGACCGGCCACAUUGGGACUGAGAUACGGCCCAGACUCCUACGGGAGGCAGCAGUGGGGAAUAUUGCACAAUGGGCGGAAGCCUGAUGCAGCAACGCCGCGUGCGGGAUGACGGCCUUCGGGUUGUAAACCGCUUUCGCCUGUGACGAAGCGUGAGUGACGGUAAUGGGUAAAGAAGCACCGGCUAACUACGUG